This is a long non-coding RNA of Thalassophryne amazonica, 245 nucleotides long. RefSeq lists it as uncharacterized. The transcript is spliced from 4 exons. NCBI's taxonomy places the organism in Eukaryota, Metazoa, Chordata, Actinopteri, Batrachoidiformes, Batrachoididae. The record is from RefSeq and is a predicted model, not a curated record.
UAAGACCUAAGCAUUAGCUGAACACGCUGACUGUACAUCUCAUACAACUGAAAUUUUUCUUCUUUCUCAGCACAUAUCAAGCGUAAAAGUCUUUGAACAUCCUUCAGACUUCAUCAAGUUGUACUGUUGUGCUGCUACAGUGAAAAACAAAAAACAAAACACCAUGACAUUGCAGCACAAACCCUAAAGACAGGCCACGACCGGAGCUGGAGCUGACAGCUUGAACGAUGUUUUUUACGAUCCUG